CCCGCUGAACUUAAGCAUAUCAAUAAGCGGAGGAAAAGAAACCAACAGGGAUUGCCUUAGUAACGGCGAGUGAAGCGGCAACAGCUCAAAUUUGAAAUCUGGCCUCUUUCGGGGUCCGAGUUGUAAUUUGUAGAGGACGUUUUGGGUACCGCGCUGGUUUAAAUUUCUUGGAACAGAAUGUCAGAGAGGGUGAGAAUCCCGUCUUGGACCGGCGUAGGGCCCGUGUAAAACUCCUUCGACGAGUCGAGUUGUUUGGGAAUGCAGCUCAAAAUGGGUGGUAAAUUUCAUCUAAAGCUAAAUAUUGGCCAGAGACCGAUAGCGCACAAGUAGAGUGAUCGAAAGAUGAAAAGCACUUUGAAAAGAGAGUUAAACAGUAUGUGAAAUUGUUGAAAGGGAAGCGCUUGCAACCAGACUUGCGCGCGACGGUUCCCCCUUCCUUCUGGUUGGGCUACUCCGUCGUGUCCAGGCCAACAUCGGUUCUGGGGGUCGGUUAAAGGCUGGGGGAAUGUAUCUACCCUCCGGGCGUAGACUUAUAGCCCCGAGUGUCAUGCGGCCUCCCGGGACCGAGGAACGCGCUUCGGCUCGGAUGUUGGCGUAAUGGUUGUCAGCGACCCGUCUUGAAACACGG
This 628-nucleotide ribosomal RNA is filed under the name uncultured fungus. Its description in RNAcentral is "eukaryotic LSU rRNA". It matches the Rfam family "Eukaryotic large subunit ribosomal RNA", at positions 24 to 664 of the family's 3401-position model. The record is from RNAcentral. Lineage: Eukaryota; Fungi.